ACGCGAGCUGGGUUUAGAACGUCGUGAGACAGUUCGGUCCCUAUCUGCCGUGGACGUUUGAGAUUUGAGAGGGGCUGCUCCUAGUACGAGAGGACCGGAGUGGACGAACCUCUGGUGUUCCGGUUGUCACGCCAGUGGCAUUGCCGGGUAGCUAUGUUCGGAAAAGAUAACCGCUGAAAGCAUCUAAGCGGGAAACUUGCCUCAAGAUGAGAUCUCACUGGAACCUUGAGUUCCCUAAAGGGCCGUCGAAGACUACGACGUUGAUAGGUUGGGUGUGUAAGCGCUGUGAGGCGUUGAGCUAACCAAUACUAAUUGCCCGUGAGGCUUGACCAUAUAACACCCAAGCAAUU
RNAcentral lists this ribosomal RNA (350 nucleotides) under Pseudomonas chlororaphis. Its description in RNAcentral is "partial 23S ribosomal RNA". It matches the Rfam family "Bacterial large subunit ribosomal RNA", at positions 2598 to 2925 of the family's 2925-position model. The record is from RNAcentral. Lineage: Bacteria; Pseudomonadati; Pseudomonadota; Gammaproteobacteria; Pseudomonadales; Pseudomonadaceae.